RNAcentral lists this ribosomal RNA (374 nucleotides) under uncultured organism. RNAcentral's name for it is "partial 16S ribosomal RNA". It matches the Rfam family "Bacterial small subunit ribosomal RNA", at positions 528 to 896 of the family's 1533-position model. The record is from RNAcentral.
GUAGUGGCAAGCGUUGUCCGGGAAUUAUUGGGGCGUAAAGCGCGCGCAGGCGGUUCUUUAAGUCUGAUGUGAAAGCCCACGGGCUCAACCGUGGAGGGUCAUUGGAAACUGGAGAACUUGAGUACAGAAGAGGAAAGCGGAAUUCCACGUGUAGCGGUGAAAUGCGUAGAGAUGUGGAGGAACACCAGUGGCGAAGGCGGCUUUCUGGUCUGUAACUGACGCUGAGGCGCGAAAGCGUGGGGAGCAAACAGGAUUAGAUACCCUGGUAGUCCACGCCGUAAACGAUGAGUGCUAAGUGUUAGGGGGUUUCCGCCCCUUAGUGCUGCAGCUAACGCAUUAAGCACUCCGCCUGGGGAGUACGGCCGCAAAGGCUG